RNAcentral lists this long non-coding RNA (948 nucleotides) under Chinchilla lanigera (long-tailed chinchilla). RNAcentral describes it as "lncRNA (ENSCLAG00000028470.1)". The record is from RNAcentral. Lineage: Eukaryota; Metazoa; Chordata; Mammalia; Rodentia; Chinchillidae.
UCCCCAGCUUUCCUUGGCUAUGACAAAACACUGAAGACAAGCAGCUCGCGGGUUGGAAGGAUUUAUUUGGGUGCAUGACACAGUGAGCAUCCGCAGCCAAUGCAGGAAUAGCUGCUGUCCACUGAGCCCACUCCUCCCACAUUCCCCCCCAUGUGCCACGGGUCCCAGGGACUUGUGUGGAUGUGCAGGACUUGAGGCUUUGUUAUCUCGUCUUCUGAUUUCUCCGAAGUUGUCUGGUUUACAGAGGUGGAAGCCUGACUCCCUUUAGUUUGGCUCAGGAGGAGGUUCUUCCUGAACAGUGACAGUCUUGAUUACACGCACAUUCGUGGCCACCCCAAAGAGCAGUGCCGCUAUUAUUGCGUACAGGCGACCAAACAAUAGUCUCAUAUACUGCACUGCCUCCUUUGAGUGGAUUACGGUCCGCAAUUUUCUUGGAGGUGGCCCACCGCUCGUACUCCCACCAGCACCUCUUUUUUUACACAGUGGAGGGUCCCAACCUACAUGGCAAUGACAUUCCUUUUGGUUGUUGCAAAGUCCCCUAAAAUUGCACUUAUCCGGAGUACAGUCAUAAUGUAUUCUUGAUACGGAGCCAUUGCAAGAGUUUCUAUCACAGAAUUUUCCAGGGGCACAGACUGUACCAGUUCGCACAUGUCCCACAUCAACGGUUUGCGUCUGACGGUGUUCAUCCACCCCAAAACACCAAGACUUAUCAUACUUAGACUGAUGGAAUGAAACAUGUUCCUGCAACCGGGGAAGGCCGCUCAAAACAGGAGAGGAGCAAAGACCCCUGCCAACAGCCAGCCCUCAAAAGGCCCACAGUGUCGUGUGUCUCUCCUGUGCCCAGCGGCGUGCCUGCACCCCAAGUGUGGACCUGACUCUGGACAGAUAAGCUGGGCAACAGGCACCUUGAGGGAGAAAAAGUGCUCCAAGAGUUGGAAUGGAGAAGAG